Molecule: ribosomal RNA, 380 nt
Filed under: uncultured bacterium
Lineage: Bacteria
Description: bacterial SSU rRNA
Rfam family: Bacterial small subunit ribosomal RNA
Source: RNAcentral
AUUGAACGCUGGCGGCAUGCCUUACACAUGCAAGUCGAACGGCAGCGCGGGGCAACCUGGCGGCGAGUGGCGAACGGGUGAGUAAUAUAUCGGAACAUACCCUAGAGUGGGGAUAACGUAGCGAAAGUUACGCUAAUACCGCAUACGCACUAAGGUGGAAAGUGGGGGAUUCGCAAGAACCUCAUGCUCAUGGAGUGGCCGAUAUCUGAUUAGCUAGUUGGUGAGGUAAAGGCUCACCAAGGCAACAAUCAGUAGCUGGUUUGAGAGAACGACCAGCCACACUGGAACUGAGACACGGUCCAGACUCCUACGGAGGCAGCAGUGGGGAAUAUUGGACAAUGGCGAAGCCUGAUCCAGCAAUGCCGCGUGAGUGAAGAAGG